AAACCGAUAGGCCCGCAUGGGUCUGUGUUGGGCGUCGUCCUCGGGCGUCGCCUCGAAUCGAUCGGUCGAGCGGGACGGACGUGAUCCUAUAGGACUGACCGUCUCGGGACCCUAAAUCUCAG
This 122-nucleotide unclassified non-coding RNA is filed under the name uncultured Archaeorhizomycetaceae. Its description in RNAcentral is "sequence contains ITS2". Lineage: Eukaryota; Fungi; Ascomycota; Archaeorhizomycetes; Archaeorhizomycetales; Archaeorhizomycetaceae. The record is from RNAcentral.